UAAUACGAAGGGACCUAGCGUAGUUCGGAAUUACUGGGCUUAAAGAGUUCGUAGGUGGUUAAAAAAGUUGGUGGUGAAAUCCCAGAGCUUAACUCUGGAACUGCCAUCAAAACUUUUUAGCUAGAGUAUGAUAGAGGAAAGCAGAAUUUCUAGUGUAGAGGUGAAAUUCGUAGAUAUUAGAAAGAAUACCAAUUGCGAAGGCAGCUUUCUGGAUCAUUACUGACACUGAGGAACGAAAGCAUGGGUAGCGAAGAGGAUUAGAUACCCUCGUAGUCCAUGCCGUAAACGAUGUGUGUUAGACGUUGGAAAUUUAUUUUCAGUGUCGCAGCGAAAGCAAUAAACACACCGCCUGGGGAGUACGACCGCAAGGUUA
Molecule: ribosomal RNA, 373 nt
Filed under: uncultured Alphaproteobacteria bacterium
Lineage: Bacteria; Pseudomonadati; Pseudomonadota; Alphaproteobacteria
Description: bacterial SSU rRNA
Rfam family: Bacterial small subunit ribosomal RNA
Source: RNAcentral